RNAcentral lists this transfer RNA (58 nucleotides) under Salmo salar (Atlantic salmon). It matches the Rfam family "tRNA", at positions 8 to 63 of the family's 71-position model. Rfam says of the family: Transfer RNA (tRNA) molecules are approximately 80 nucleotides in length. Their secondary structure includes four short double-helical elements and three loops (D, anti-codon, and T loops). Further hydrogen bonds mediate the characteristic L-shaped molecular structure. tRNAs have two regions of fundamental functional importance: the anti-codon, which is responsible for specific mRNA codon recognition, and the 3' end, to which the tRNAs corresponding amino acid is attached (by aminoacyl-tRNA synthetases). tRNAs cope with the degeneracy of the genetic code in two manners: having more than one tRNA (with a specific anti-codon) for a particular amino acid; and 'wobble' base-pairing, i.e. permitting non-standard base-pairing at the 3rd anti-codon position. Lineage: Eukaryota; Metazoa; Chordata; Actinopteri; Salmoniformes; Salmonidae. The record is from Rfam by way of RNAcentral.
UAGCUCACUUGGUAGGGCAUGGCACUUGCAAUGCCGGGGUUGUGGGUUCGAUUCCCAU